Molecule: long non-coding RNA, 1748 nt
Filed under: Betta splendens (Siamese fighting fish)
Lineage: Eukaryota; Metazoa; Chordata; Actinopteri; Anabantiformes; Osphronemidae
Description: lncRNA (ENSBSLG00000026170.1)
Source: RNAcentral
UUAAACGGCGAUCUUUGCUCAGUUAGGAGUGAGACUUUUACGUAUUUCCAAUGCGAGUUCAUCGCGCGAGCGCGGGAUUUUCAAAUUUCAAAUAACCGACAUGAGCGUUGCCCCUCGGUCGGUUUGGAUGCGACGAGGAUUUUACGAGUCAGCGGCAUUUGUUCAGGUUGGUGCAAUAUUUUCUGACAUAUACUCUCCGUCCGCAGGUGUUAGAGCAGAGAACUACUGGAAACGGAAAACAGAAGUACAGAGACUUGCCCUACUGAAAAGGUAACCCAUGAACAUUAAAUAGAAAUGUGCUGUCAUGCUAUGCAUUUCCUGAGGUAAUUUACACGAACCUACCAAAAGGGUGUUUGAGUUAUUUCACUCUACAUAUUGUUUGCAUUGUAUAUCGUAUUAUCAUAAAUCUAUUAUUUGUUUCAUACGGUAAAGGAAAAUAAUCAAAUUACUUACACAAGUAUUUGUUUAAUUAAGCUUUAACAUUUGUACCUUUUUCUAAGAUUGUGUACUCAUUUCACAGCACAUAAUUGAUUUCCUAAUUUAUUACAGCUAUUUUGACUUGAAACGUGUUCUUUAUCAUCUAAAAUGUGUCUCUUGGUGUUUACCUCCAAUGGCCAUUCUGUGAAAGUGUCCCAUUCUAGAGCUGAGAAGAGACAGCAGGAAAGGGAAUCAUCUGCUAGUGUCGCUCCAGAUGUCUACAUGUCCACAAGUUGUUUAAGAAAAAGUAAGGUACGACUAUUGCAAACACAAGGCAAGAAGUUAUCAGAGAUGAACCCUUCAUCACCGAGUUCAAAACCAGAUGGCCUGCUCUCUUCUGUGUUUCUGAGAAUAAAUUUAAGAGGACUACAACAGUUUGCUGCAACAGUUCUUCUCCAUGCUGGAUGGUUAUUCUUCAGACCUGAAAACGGUGUUUGGCAAGGAAGGCGGCAUUCAAGGACAAAAGAUUAAGAGCAUCAUGGUUCCCAUAACCCAGACUAACUCCAUUGAUGUCAGAAGAGUACAUCCUUUAAGCCCAGUGUGUGUUCCUCAAUGAAGAUCCUGGCAACCUUGUGAAAUAAUGGAUGGUAAGAAUGUUUUUUUUUUUUUUUUUCAUGUAAGUUUAAAAUUUCAAAGUGAUUUAUAUAUGCUUUAAAAGUUGAAGUGUUAUAUAACAUCAUCCGCUUUUUUAAUUUUACAUUUCAGAUCGUGGACGCCUUGAAGAAGCCAUGAUAGAGACAAUUCUUGAAGUUUUUUUCAUUCACAAAGAUGCAGAGGCAGAUGAUGACCCUGAAGAUGUAGUCAUCGUUUCAAGUCCUGGAUGAGUUGGGUAGUGUCCCACUUGCUGUGUUGUUGUUUGCUCUUGUUAUAUGCUCUCAACCUCAGCUACCCUCCACUAAAAGUUGUUUGAAAUAUUGGCCCAAUGCUGUAUGUACAAUACUGGAUGUUAGUGACAUUUUGUAGCUGCCUUUGACAUUUGAAAGCUGUUUUAUCGUUUUUAUGAAGCUUAUAAAGUAUUCUAACCAGUCUAAAUCCAAUGUGCUUUGUGUCUUCUCCAACCUACACACCAGCUGGGGAUAUAUGUUAGUUUGCAUAAUAGAAAUACUGUUUCAAAGAUUACUUUAUUUGUAUGUAAUUUUGAAAAGCUAAUCUUGGCACAAAACAUUUGAUAACUUUACAUUGGUUGUGUUAGUAUAGCAUAAUUUAUUAAUUAAUUUAAAUUAACUUGUUACUACCCUAUAAAAUAAAGUAACAAGUAUUAAUAUUAUACA